GCGCCAGUAGCUCAGUCGGAUAGAGCACCGGAUUUCUAAUCCGGUGGUCGGGGGUUCAAGUCCUCCCUGGCGCGCCA
RNAcentral lists this transfer RNA (77 nucleotides) under Planctomycetota bacterium. RNAcentral describes it as "Planctomycetes bacterium tRNA-Arg". It matches the Rfam family "tRNA". Rfam says of the family: Transfer RNA (tRNA) molecules are approximately 80 nucleotides in length. Their secondary structure includes four short double-helical elements and three loops (D, anti-codon, and T loops). Lineage: Bacteria; Pseudomonadati; Planctomycetota. The record is from RNAcentral.